UCAAACAUAGAUCUCAAGUGAAGUAAGACUACCCGCUGAAUUUAAGCAUAUUAUUAAGCGGAGGAAAAGAAACUAACAAGGAUUCCCUCAGUAACGGCGAGUGAAGCGGGAAGAGCUCAAACCGAGAAUCCUCACUCAUUGCGUAGUGAGGAAUUGUGGUCUAUGGAGCCAUGUUCAGUUCGUGUCCUCGGUCUAAGUGCCUUGGAAGAGGCCAUCAGAGAGGGUGAGAGUCCCGUCUUAGGCUGAGAGUACACGAGCGUACGGACUGGUUUCCGAGAGUCGGGUUGCUUGGGAGUGCAGCCCUAAGUGGGUGGUAAAUUUCAUCUAAAGCUAAAUACAUGCCAGAGACCGAUAGCGAACAAGUACCGUGAGGGAAAGAUGAAAAGAACUUUGAAAAGAGAGUUAAAAAGUACCUGAAAUCGCUAAGAUUGAAGGGAUGGGAAUUAGUCAUGGCGACGAGGUUCUGGCGAUCUGGUUUCGACCGGUCGUUUACCACCUCGUUGCUCGUGUCAGGAUGGGUUCACCGUGCGUCAGGGCACGUGGGAGUAGGUCACCUUCGGGAACGAGACUCCCUCGCAGCCGUCGUGCGGUGGACCGAGGUUGCCGCCCAGCUAUUCCGGCGGCCCAUAUGUGGAUUGUGAGCGGAUGGAGAGCAAAGCUCUGCUUUCGUGUAUCGGUUGCAUGGUGGGUCGUCGUGUGGCAUGGUUUGGAUUCCUGACGAAAUGAUUCUCAUUCACCCGUCUUGAAACACGGACCAAGGAGUCUAA
Molecule: ribosomal RNA, 767 nt
Filed under: uncultured fungus
Lineage: Eukaryota; Fungi
Description: eukaryotic LSU rRNA
Rfam family: Eukaryotic large subunit ribosomal RNA
Source: RNAcentral